RNAcentral lists this ribosomal RNA (253 nucleotides) under uncultured bacterium. Its description in RNAcentral is "partial 16S ribosomal RNA". It matches the Rfam family "Bacterial small subunit ribosomal RNA", at positions 524 to 776 of the family's 1533-position model. The record is from RNAcentral.
UACGUAGGGUGCAAGCGUUGUCCGGAAUUAUUGGGCGUAAAGAGCUCGUAGGCGGUCUGUUGCGUCCGCUGUGAAAACCCGGGGCUUAACCCCUGGCUUGCAGUGGAUACGGACAGACUAGAGGUAGGUAGGGGAGAAUGGAAUUCCCGGUGUAGCGGUGAAAUGCGCAGAUAUCGGGAGGAACACCGGUGGCGAAGGCGGUUCUCUGGGCCUUACCUGACGCUGAGGAGCGAAAGCGUGGGGAGCAAACAGG